RNAcentral lists this ribosomal RNA (301 nucleotides) under uncultured bacterium. RNAcentral's name for it is "partial 16S ribosomal RNA". It matches the Rfam family "Bacterial small subunit ribosomal RNA", at positions 509 to 807 of the family's 1533-position model. The record is from RNAcentral.
CAGCAGCCGCGGUAAUACGUAGGGUGCAAGCGUUAAUCGGAAUUACUGGGCGUAAAGCGUGCGCAGGCGGUCCGCUAAGACAGAUGUGAAAUCCCCGGGCUUAACCUGGGAACUGCAUUUGUGACUGGCGGGCUAGAGUAUGGCAGAGGGGGGUAGAAUUCCACGUGUAGCAGUGAAAUGCGUAGAGAUGUGGAGUAAUACCGAUGGCGAAGGCAGCCCCCUGGGCCAAUACUGACGCUCAUGCACGAAAGCGUGGGGAGCAAACAGGAUUAGAUACCCCUGUAGUCCCUGUCUCUUAUAC